RNAcentral lists this ribosomal RNA (483 nucleotides) under uncultured bacterium. Its description in RNAcentral is "partial 16S ribosomal RNA". It matches the Rfam family "Bacterial small subunit ribosomal RNA", at positions 29 to 506 of the family's 1533-position model. The record is from RNAcentral.
AUUGAACGCUGGCGGCAUGCUUUACACAUGCAAGUCGAACGGCAGCGCGGGCUUCGGCCUGGCGGCGAGUGGCGAACGGGUGAGUAAUACAUCGGAACGUGCCCAGUAGUGGGGGAUAGCUCGGCGAAAGCCGGAUUAAUACCGCAUACGACCUGAGGGUGAAAGCGGGGGAUCUUCGGACCUCGCGCUAUUGGAGCGGCCGAUGGCAGAUUAGCUAGUUGGUGGGGUAAAGGCCCACCAAGGCGACGAUCUGUAGCUGGUCUGAGAGGACGACCAGCCACACUGGGACUGAGACACGGCCCAGACUCCUACGGGAGGCAGCAGUGGGGAAUUUUGGACAAUGGGCGAAAGCCUGAUCCAGCAAUGCCGCGUGUGUGAUGAAGGCCUUCGGGUUGUAAAGCACUUUUGGCGGGAACGAAAAGGACUGUGCCAAUACCACGGUUCGAUGACGGUACCCGCAGAAUAAGCACCGGCUAACUACGU